Long non-coding RNA from Cottoperca gobio, 807 nucleotides. RefSeq lists it as uncharacterized. Lineage: Eukaryota; Metazoa; Chordata; Actinopteri; Perciformes; Bovichtidae. The record is from RefSeq and is a predicted model, not a curated record. The transcript has 3 exons.
AGCAGGAGCAGGUGUUACUGGGCCUGCUGGGAAAUGGAGUCCGUUCCUCUCCGUGUCUGAAGCGGCUCCAGCGGCUCCAGCUGCUCCGGACCUGCACCGCCUGCGUGAAGAGCUCCCUGGGUGCGCCUGGUGCGCCAUGUGCGGCUGGUGCAUCUGCUGCAGCCGGUCAGCAGCGUGCUGUGAGGGUCUGACGGGGAGAGCAAAGCUGCAGGAGUCUGGAAAUUAUGCAUGGCGGACUAGAUUCAUGCUGAAACUUCAGAAUACUUGCAUCCGUCCGCCAGGUUGUGUUUUGUGUUUGGAUUGAUUGUCUUCUGGUUGAAGGAUGAAUCACGGGCCAAAGAAGAACACGUCACAUUUGCGAGUGCUUCUAGUUUGUUUUUAUUUUCAGUGCGACAUCUGUGGUCCAAUCACUUACAGAGUACACUUUGUAACUUAUUGACAACUUAUUGUAGCAUUUCUUGAAGAACAAAGUCAAAGGCUGAUCCAGUUCUUCUGGACGUUUUACUUCCGCUGAAGUACUGAGAAUCUUUAAAAGUGAGUGCAUGUAGAGUAGUAUACUUGUUAAGUAUUUAUCCAUGUAAACUUUCUAAAUACACAGAAUAUUUUAAGAAUUUAAGUAGUGUACUUAAGUACACAUUUGAGGUACUUGUACUUUAAACUUUACUUUUCUACUCCACGACAUGUCAAAGGUAAAUAUUGUACUUUUUCCUGCACUACAUUUAUCUGACAGCUUUAGUUACUUCCUGUCAGUUAAACAUGUAUCUCCAGAUGUUUGUGAUGAACUGAAGGAUGAAGUUUCCUUUAUGA